Non-coding RNA from Caenorhabditis brenneri, 81 nucleotides. The record is from Rfam. Lineage: Eukaryota; Metazoa; Nematoda; Chromadorea; Rhabditida; Rhabditidae.
AGUUGAUCUAAAUAUCUCUCAGGGCCUUGAAUAAGACCCAGUGAACAAUUUUUGGAGACCCUAUUCCUCUGGAGUAGGGUG